This 746-nucleotide ribosomal RNA is filed under the name Tubakia seoraksanensis. Its description in RNAcentral is "eukaryotic LSU rRNA". It matches the Rfam family "Eukaryotic large subunit ribosomal RNA", at positions 86 to 861 of the family's 3401-position model. RNAcentral also lists the same sequence under 1 other name. The record is from RNAcentral. Lineage: Eukaryota; Fungi; Ascomycota; Sordariomycetes; Diaporthales; Tubakiaceae.
ACGGCGAGUGAAGCGGCAACAGCUCAAAUUUGAAAUCUGGCCUCGGCCCGAGUUGUAAUUUGCAGAGGAUGCUUUUGGUGCGGUGCCUUCCGAGUUCCCUGGAACGGGACGCCACAGAGGGUGAGAGCCCCGUAUGGUCGGACACCAAUCCUGUGUAAAGCUCCUUCGACGAGUCGAGUAGUUUGGGAAUGCUGCUCUAAAUGGGAGGUAAAUCUCUUCUAAAGCUAAAUACCGGCCAGAGACCGAUAGCGCACAAGUAGAGUGAUCGAAAGAUGAAAAGCACCUUGAAAAGGGGGUUAAACAGUACGUGAAAUUGUUGAAAGGGAAGCACUUGUGACCAGACUUGGGCCGGGCGGCUCAUCAGGGGUUCUCCCCUGUGCAUUCCGCCCGGUACAGGCCAGCAUCGGUUCUUACCGGGGGAUAAGAACGGCAGGAACGUGGCUCCCUCUCGGGGGAGUGUUAUAGCCUGCCGUACGAUACCCUGGCGGGGACCGAGGUUCGCGCUUCCGCAAGGAUGCUGGCGUAAUGGUUACUAGUGACCCGUCUUGAAACACGGACCAAGGAGUCGUCCAUUAGAGCGAGCGUUUGGGUGUAAAACCCGCACGCGUAAUGAAAGUGAAAUUAGGUGAGAGCUUCGGCGCAUCAUCGACCGAUCCUGAUGUUCUCGGAUGGAUUUGAGUAAGAGUUUUAACGGACGGACCCGAAAGACAGUGAACUAUGCUUGUAUAGGGUGAAGCCAGAGGAAA